This 74-nucleotide transfer RNA is filed under the name Myotis lucifugus (little brown bat). It matches the Rfam family "tRNA". From Rfam's summary of the family: Transfer RNA (tRNA) molecules are approximately 80 nucleotides in length. Their secondary structure includes four short double-helical elements and three loops (D, anti-codon, and T loops). Lineage: Eukaryota; Metazoa; Chordata; Mammalia; Chiroptera; Vespertilionidae. The record is from Rfam by way of RNAcentral.
GCCAGUGUGGCUCAGUGGUUAGAGCGUCGGCCCGAGCACCGAAGGGUCGCAGGUUCCAUUCCCGGUCAAGGGCA